Long non-coding RNA from Myzus persicae (green peach aphid), 525 nucleotides. RefSeq lists it as uncharacterized. NCBI's taxonomy places the organism in Eukaryota, Metazoa, Arthropoda, Insecta, Hemiptera, Aphididae. The record is from RefSeq and is a predicted model, not a curated record. The transcript has 3 exons.
CUAUAUCAUGCUAAAUUCUUAUCGGUAUAAUUCGAUUGCGUAAUUAUUUUUUAAAGUAUACUUCAAGAAGAAUUAUAUUUCAAUUUAUUUACAGCGCUCAAUUAUAAAAGUGUAAUACAUUUUGUGUUGCGUUUUGUUUUUGAUUUAUUUACACUUAUAUGACGUAUGUUAUGAGGCAGAAGUACUUCUUUUUUAUCGUUUCCGUAUUCAAGAACUUGUGAACGUGCAUUUAAACAGUCCAACCUACCUCGUCCAUUUGCUGAUCUUCUUCGACCUUGGGCUCGGCCCAUGGUUGCAAUUCUCCAGAGGCGAAUAUUCCGUAGAACACCACCCCAAUAUAGUGAAUGACAGCGGCCAGUAUAAAUACCUCGCUCCAGCUCUGCCUCGUCUACAACAAUUUCAAAACCAAUCAGGGUUACACUGAUUAAUACAAUAUUGUAUAUUGAUUGGUCCACACGUGGUUUCUCAACUAACUGUAAUAGUUCGGGCAGGAUUGUGCGAGACUGGGAUGGGACGGAUUCACUG